This 73-nucleotide transfer RNA is filed under the name Pyxidicoccus parkwayensis. RNAcentral describes it as "Pyxidicoccus sp. SCPEA002 tRNA-Gln". It matches the Rfam family "tRNA". Rfam says of the family: Transfer RNA (tRNA) molecules are approximately 80 nucleotides in length. Lineage: Bacteria; Pseudomonadati; Myxococcota; Myxococcia; Myxococcales; Myxococcaceae. The record is from RNAcentral.
ACCAGGGUGGUCAAACGGUUAACGACGGCGGCCUCUGACUCCGCAAGCGCAGGUUCGACUCCUGCCCCUGGUU